Amborella trichopoda is the source of this 1605-nucleotide long non-coding RNA. RefSeq lists it as uncharacterized. Lineage: Eukaryota; Viridiplantae; Streptophyta; Magnoliopsida; Amborellales; Amborellaceae. The record is from RefSeq and is a predicted model, not a curated record.
GUUUACGAAGUUCCUCUCUACAUCGUCUCUCUCUCCUCUCUCUCUCUAAAAAAACCAAAUAUCAGAUCUAAAGCCCUACUGUCAUGUUGCAGCGCCAACCCAUCGAUCUAAAAAACCCACAUAUCUUUGUAUCUCUCUCUACCUCGUGUCUCUCUCUUCCCUCUUCCUUCUUGCACGACCUUCCUCUCUCUUCUUCUCUCACUCAUCUUCUUCCUCAUUGCUCCCAAAAUCAAAAGCAUCUUCCUCAUUGCUCCCAAAAUCAAAAGCAAUGGCAAAGUAUUGAAGAUCAAAAGCGGCUCAAAAACCCCAUAUUGCCAUCAAGAAUAUGUUCAAAAACCCCAAAUGAAGAUUUGCGCAUGAGAUUGGACAUCAUUUUGCUAUUUCAACUGCUAUCAAAGACACUAGUAUUACAACUCAUGAAGAAAUGGAGAAUAUGGAUAUCUUUCAUGUGCGUACUUAGAAAAGUGUAAGGAUCAUUUGUUUUAUCGAUGGAGGAAAUAUACAGAGCAGAAAGAAGCGAUUGAGAAGUAUGAGGGAAUCCUUGAGGACUUUGCACCAGGUUAUUUGAAGUUUGGCUUCAUCAGAGAAGAUGACAGCAUUGUGUAUCGAGAGUGGGCACCAGCAGUGCAGAAAGUGUUUGAAGGCAUUUUUUAGCACCUUGGGUCCCCGAUGAGGAAUAAAGAAGAAGUAGGUAAAUAAAGCCAAGAUUUACAAUGGAAUUCCCGACAGUCUCAGAAUUGCCCCAGAAUGGGUGAAAAUGUUCUUAAGGACUUCAAAAGGUCACCUGUUAAGUUUCGUCGCAAUCCGACAUGUCUAAGGAAGUGCAGACAAAGAAACAGCUUCGAAAAAAUCAGUCUCUCGCACCUUGAAAGGAACCCUAUAACUGGAACCCUAUUAAUAGAGCAUCAGAUGGCUAUGGGACCACUGCCAUUGAAUUCGGUAGGGGUCAAAUUUUGGCUUAAACAGACGUUCCAGGAUAAAUUUAUGGGCAAAAGACUGAAAAAAGGUAGGCCGCACAAUAUUCCCAUGUGCUCUCCCUACACCAGUCUCCAUGGCAAAAGACUGAAAAGGGGUAGGACGCACGCUAUUCCCAUGUGUCCUCCCAACACUAGUCUCCAUUAAUGGAGAUUGGUUUUCAUAAUUUCGGGUAGUGAUUUUCGAGAGUCAUAUCUCUUUAGUUCCAAGUCGGAUCGUGCUCAAAUUCUGCGAGCAUGUUCGUCUCGUCAAGACGAGCGUUUUGAUAUGUGGUAUGGCCUGUGACGAUGCUCAAGCAAAGAGAAAAGCUAGAGAGAAGGUGACAAUUUGCGGCAAAAGUUGUAGGAAAUUUAAUAGCGACGUGUCACACUCGAGCGGCCAUAUCACGACACUCGCGUACCCAAUCGACGUGAAACUAAGGUCCAGGGCUACGUCUGGUCCGACCUUCGCAUGAUGAACAGUCAGAUUUCAUGUGCGAAGCCAGUAAAGUUGUAAAUUCUGGCCGCCAAAAUUCAGAUUCCUGCCAAAACUCUAAAGACUGCAAAAUUUUCGUCCGGGCUACGUUUGUUCCAACGUAAUCGUGACGGCAUGCUCAAUGUAAUUCAACAAAGAAAUCAUGAAAAAACAUCA